This 541-nucleotide ribosomal RNA is filed under the name uncultured bacterium. RNAcentral describes it as "partial 16S ribosomal RNA". It matches the Rfam family "Bacterial small subunit ribosomal RNA", at positions 355 to 908 of the family's 1533-position model. The record is from RNAcentral.
UGGGGAAUAUUGGACAAUGGGCGCAAGCCUGAUCCAGCCAUGCCGCGUGAGUGAUGAAGGCCUUAGGGUUGUAAAGCUCUUUCGCCGGUGAAGAUAAUGACGGUAACCGGAGAAGAAGCCCCGGCUAACUUCGUGCCAGCAGCCGCGGUAAUACGAAGGGGGCUAGCGUUGCUCGGAAUCACUGGGCGUAAAGCGCACGUAGGCGGAUCGUUAAGUCAGGGGUGAAAUCCUGGAGCUCAACUCCAGAACUGCCCUUGAUACUGGCGAUCUCGAGUUCGAGAGAGGUUGGUGAACUCCGAGUGUAGAGGUGAAAUUCGUAGAUAUUCGGAAGAACACCAGUGGCGAAGGCGGCAACUGGUUCGAUACUGACGCUGAGGUGCGAAAAGCGUGGGGAGCAAAACAGGAUUAGAUACCCUGGUAGUCCACGCCGUAAAACGAUGGAUGCUAGCCGUUGGGGGGUUUACCUCUCAGUGGCGCAGCUAAACGCCUUAAAGCAUCCCGCCUGGGGGAGUACGGUCGCAAAGAUUAAAAACUCAAAAGG